This is a non-coding RNA of Zasmidium cellare ATCC 36951, 112 nucleotides long. Lineage: Eukaryota; Fungi; Ascomycota; Dothideomycetes; Mycosphaerellales; Mycosphaerellaceae. The record is from the annotation of a RefSeq genome assembly.
GGGCUUGUGGUCUAGCGGUAUGACAUCUUCUUAGCAUUGCCGUUUAAUUGCUUUUCUGCAAUUGACGCUGCUGAGAUGGAGAAGGUUCCCGGUUCGACUCCGGGCUAGUCCA